GCUGGCGGCAUGCCUAACACAUGCAAGUCGAACGGAAACGAUGGAAGCUUGCUUCCAGGCGUCGAGUGGCGGACGGGUGAGUAAUGCUUAGGAAUCUGCCCAGUAGUGGGGGACAACUCGGGGAAACUCGAGCUAAUACCGCAUACGCCCUACGGGGGAAAGCAGGGGAUCUUCGGACCUUGCGCUAUUGGAUGAGCCUAAGUCGGAUUAGCUUGUUGGUGAGGUAAAAGCUCACCAAGGCGACGAUCCGUAGCUGGUCUGAGAGGACGAUCAGCCACACUGGGACUGAGACACGGCCCAGACUCCUACGGGAGGCAGCAGUGGGGAAUAUUGGACAAUGGGGGCAACCCUGAUCCAGCAAUGCCGCGUGUGUGAAGAAGGCCUGCGGGUUGUAAGGCACUUUCAGUAGAGAAGAAAAGCUCAUGGUUAAUACCUGUGAGUCUUGACGUAACCUACAGAAGAAGCUCCGGCUAACUCCGUGCCAGCAGCCGCGGUAAUACGGAGGGAGCGAGCGUUAAUCGGAAUUACUGGGCGUAAAGCGCGCGUAGGCGGCUUUGUCAGUCGGAUGUGAAAGCCCUGGGCUUAACCCAGGAAUUGCAUUCGAUACUGCAUGGCUAGAGUUGGUAGAGGGAA
This 633-nucleotide ribosomal RNA is filed under the name uncultured Gammaproteobacteria bacterium. RNAcentral describes it as "bacterial SSU rRNA". It matches the Rfam family "Bacterial small subunit ribosomal RNA", at positions 35 to 659 of the family's 1533-position model. Lineage: Bacteria; Pseudomonadati; Pseudomonadota; Gammaproteobacteria. The record is from RNAcentral.